GGUUGUAGCUCAGUGGUAAAGCACUCACCUAGCGAGUGUGAGGCAUUGGGUUCAAUCCUCAGAACCA
RNAcentral lists this transfer RNA (67 nucleotides) under Marmota monax (woodchuck). Its description in RNAcentral is "tRNA.Ala". Lineage: Eukaryota; Metazoa; Chordata; Mammalia; Rodentia; Sciuridae. The record is from RNAcentral.